RNAcentral lists this ribosomal RNA (745 nucleotides) under uncultured bacterium. RNAcentral's name for it is "bacterial SSU rRNA". It matches the Rfam family "Bacterial small subunit ribosomal RNA", at positions 33 to 773 of the family's 1533-position model. The record is from RNAcentral.
ACGCUGGCGGCAGGCCUAACACAUGCAAGUCGAGCGGAUGAAGAGAGCUUGCUCUCUGAUUCAGCGGCGGACGGGUGAGUAAUGCCUAGGAAUCUGCCUGAUAGUGGGGGACAACGUUUCGAAAGGAACGCUAAUACCGCAUACGUCCUACGGGAGAAAGCAGGGGACCUUCGGGCCUUGCGCUAUCAGAUGAGCCUAGGUCGGAUUAGCUAGUUGGUGAGGUAAUGGCUCACCAAGGCGACGAUCCGUAACUGGUCUGAGAGGAUGAUCAGUCACACUGGAACUGAGACACGGUCCAGACUCCUACGGGAGGCAGCAGUGGGGAAUAUUGGACAAUGGGCGAAAGCCUGAUCCAGCCAUGCCGCGUGUGUGAAGAAGGUCUUCGGAUUGUAAAGCACUUUAAGUUGGGAGGAAGGGCAGUAACUUAAUACGUUGCUGUUUUGACGUUACCGACAGAAUAAGCACCGGCUAACUCUGUGCCAGCAGCCGCGGUAAUACAGAGGGUGCAAGCGCUAAUCGGAAUUACUGGGCGUAAAGCGCGCGUAGGUGGUUUGUUAAGUUGGAUGUGAAAGCCCCGGGCUCAACCUGGGAACUGCAUUCAAAACUGACAAGCUAGAGUAUGGUAGAGGGUGGUGGAAUUUCCUGUGUAGCGGUGAAAUGCGUAGAUAUAGGAAGGAACACCAGUGGCGAAGGCGACCACCUGGACUGAUACUGACACUGAGGUGCGAAAGCGUGGGGAGCAAAC